Molecule: ribosomal RNA, 497 nt
Filed under: uncultured bacterium
Lineage: Bacteria
Description: partial 16S ribosomal RNA
Rfam family: Bacterial small subunit ribosomal RNA
Source: RNAcentral
GAUGAACGCUGGCGGCGUACCUAAUACAUGCAAGUCGGGCGAACGGACGAGAAGCUUGCUUCUCUGAUGUUAGCGGCGGACGGGUGAGUAACACGUGGAUAACCUACCUAUAAGACUGGGAUAACUUCGGGAAACCGGAGCUAAUACCGGAUGAUAUUUUGAACCGCAUGGUUCAAAAGUGAAAGACGGUCUUGCUGUCACUUAUAGAUGGAUCCGCGCUGCAUUAGCUAGUUGGUAAGGUAACGGCUUACCAAGGCAACGAUGCAUAGCCGACCUGAGAGGGUGAUCGGCCACACUGGAACUGAGACACGGUCCAGACUCCUACGGGAGGCAGCAGUAGGGAAUCUUCCGCAAUGGGCGAAAGCCUGACGGAGCAACGCCGCGUGAGUGAUGAAGGUCUUCGGAUCGUAAAACUCUGUUAUUAGGGAAGAACAUAUGUGUAAGUAACUGUGCACAUCUUGACGGUACCUAAUCAGAAAGCCACGGCUAACUACGUG